AAAUGAAUAGACGGGGGCUCACACAAGCGGUGGAGCAUGUGGAUUAAUUCGAAGCAACGCGCAGAACCUUACCUGGGUUUGACAUGCUUGGAUGCCUUCCGGGAAACCGGAUCAGGCUGCCUUCGGGUGAAACUUGCACAGGUGCUGCAUGGCUGUCGUCAGCUCGUGUCGUGAGAUGUCGGGUUAAGUCCUUUAACGAGCGAAACCCCUGCCGUUAGUUACCAGCGGGUCAUGCCGGGAACUCUAGCGGGACUGCCGGUGUUAAACCGGAGGAAGGUGGGGAUGACGUCAAGUCCUCAUGGCCUUUAUGCCCAGGGCUUCACACGUGCUACAAUGGCAAUUACAGAGCGACGCAAUACCGCGAGGUGGAGCAAAUCGCAAAAAAGUUGCCUCAGUUCAGAUUGCAGGCUGGCAACUCGCCUGCAUGAAGUCGGAAUCGCUAGUAAUCGCGAAUCAGCGAUGUCGCGGUGAAUAUGUUCCUGAGCCUUGCACACACCGCCCGU
This 503-nucleotide ribosomal RNA is filed under the name uncultured bacterium. Its description in RNAcentral is "bacterial SSU rRNA". It matches the Rfam family "Bacterial small subunit ribosomal RNA", at positions 903 to 1397 of the family's 1533-position model. The record is from RNAcentral.